This 506-nucleotide ribosomal RNA is filed under the name uncultured bacterium. RNAcentral's name for it is "bacterial SSU rRNA". It matches the Rfam family "Bacterial small subunit ribosomal RNA", at positions 1 to 507 of the family's 1533-position model. The record is from RNAcentral.
CAUGCUAGACGUAGUUUGAUCAGUGGCUCAGAGCGAACGUUAGCGGCGGGCCUAACACAUGCAAGUCGAACGCGAAAGGUCUUCGGACUGAGUAGAGUGGCGCACGGGUGAGUAACACGUAGGUAAUCUACCCUUUGGCGGGGGAUAACGUUCCGAAAGGAGCGCUAAUACCGCAUAAGACCACGGAGUCUCCGGACGCUGUGGGAAAAGGUGGCCUCUUCUUGAAAGCUACCACCGAAGGAUGAGCCUGCGUCCCAUCAGCUAGUUGGUAAGGUAAUGGCUUACCAAGGCGAAGACGGGUAGCUGGUCUGAGAGGAUGAUCAGCCACACUGGGACUGAGACACGGCCCAGACUCCUACGGGAGGCAGCAGUGGGGAAUAUUGGACAAUGGGCGAAAGCCUGAUCCAGCAAUACCGCGUGAGUGAUGACGGCCUUAGGGUUGUAAAGCUCUUUUAGUAGGGAAGAUAAUGACGGUACCUACAGAAAAAGCACCGGCUAACUUCGUG